Molecule: long non-coding RNA, 221 nt
Filed under: Lathyrus oleraceus (garden pea)
Lineage: Eukaryota; Viridiplantae; Streptophyta; Magnoliopsida; Fabales; Fabaceae
Description: Pisum sativum (pea) long non-coding RNA (PSAT_LNC028479)
Source: RNAcentral
AAGAUCACUAAGGUCUUUUCCGGUUGUAGCUUGGUUAGGUUUACAAACAAGGGUCAUAUCUAAGACCAUUGAAAACGAAAUUGCCGAUGCAAAAGAGACAUUCACUGUACAAGCUAUUCACACAUCUCAACUUCGUUUCACUUGUUUCUCAUUUGAAACCUUCACAACUCUUAUUUCACAACUCAAUUUUUGUUUUUCACUAUUUUUCUUCCAAGCAAGCA